Molecule: long non-coding RNA, 684 nt
Filed under: Cucumis sativus (cucumber)
Lineage: Eukaryota; Viridiplantae; Streptophyta; Magnoliopsida; Cucurbitales; Cucurbitaceae
Description: long non-coding RNA (CSAT_LNC001011)
Source: RNAcentral
CGGACAUAAAUCCCAACACCCAUAACAUAAAAGUUUAAUGAAUAAUAAUCAAGCUUGACUCAGAUACAAAUCAAAUGAUGACAUGUCUAGAUAUGCAUUCUCCUUCUAGCUGUUUGAUGAUGUUCCUGUUCUUAUCAAUUGAUAUCUUCAGUUGCUUCUUCUAUUCAUCUGCCAUCUUUAUCAACUCAUCCUUGGUUGUGUUCAGCUAAAACAAAUAAGUAUGGUAUUAAUAAGAUACAAUUUAUAACUUACACAGUAUAAUUAGGCAUAUUGUAGUAUGAGGGUAUUUUGACGUGUUUUAAUAUAACCAUUGUUGCUGGAUUGUUUUCGUCUAUAUUUGAGUUGGUAGCACAAGAAAGUUCAAAUGUACCUAUUCGCAUGAGAUUUUCGAAGAAAUUUGAUUUGUGGUGUUGAAUUUGAGUUGGUGUUGUAUUUGUGUUGAGUUGAUGCGAUGUGGUUCAAUCUCUAGAAUUUGAUCAUCCAAUUCUCUCUCGAUUGGAUGCUUACGCUUGAUUUGAGGAAGUGGAGCACGUUAUGUUCUUGAAGUUGGAGUCUUGGAAGAAAGCUUUGUAUCUUCAACGAAGAUUCAAUCUUCGAGGAAAGUUGAAGUCUUGGAAGAAAGUUUGUAUUCAAAGAAGCUUCAAUCUUUGAGGGUGAUCGACUUCAGAAGUUAGGAAGUCUUCU